GUUAUAUGGUCAAGUGAAGAAGCGCAUACGGUGGAUGCCUUGGCAGUCAGAGGCGAUGAAAGACGUGGUAGCCUGCGAAAAGCUUCGGGGAGUCGGCAAACAGACUUUGAUCCGGAGAUCUCUGAAUGGGGGAACCCACCCAGCAUAAGCUGGGUAUCACACACUGAAUACAUAGGUGUGUGAGGCGAACCAGGGGAACUGAAACAUCUAAGUACCCUGAGGAAAAGAAAUCAACCGAGAUUCCCUAAGUAGUGGCGAGCGAACGGGGACUAGCCCUUAAGUUGAUUUGAGAGUAGCGGAACGCUCUGGAAAGUGCGGCCAUAGUGGGUGAUAGCCCUGUACGCGAAACUCUCUUGUCAAUGAAAUCGAGUAGGACGGGGCACGAGAAACCUUGUCUGAACAUGGGGGGACCAUCCUCCAAGGCUAAAUACUACUGACUGACCGAUAGUGAACCAGUACCGUGAGGGAAAGGCGAAAAGAACCCCGGAGAGGGGAGUGAAAUAGAACCUGAAACCGUAUGCGUACAAGCAGUGGGAGCGGACUUUGUUCCGUGACUGCGUACCUUUUGUAUAAUGGGUCAGCGACUUAUAUUCAGUGGCGAGCUUAACCGAAUAGGGGAGGCGUAGCGAAAGCGAGUCUUAAUAGGGCGCUUUAGUCGCUGGGUAUAGACCCGAAACCGGGCGAUCUAUCCAUGGGCAGGUUGAAGGUUAGGUAACACUGACUGGAGGACCGAACCGACUACCGUUGAAAAGUUAGCGGAUGACCUGUGGAUCGGAGUGAAAGGCUAAUCAAGCUCGGAGAUAGCUGGUUCUCCUCGAAAGCUAUUUAGGUAGCGCCUCGUGUAUCACUGCUGGGGGUAGAGCACUGUUUCGGCUAGGGGGUCAUCCCGACUUACCAAACCGAUGCAAACUCCGAAUACCGGCAAGUGUCAGCACGGGAGACACACGGCGGGUGCUAACGUCCGUCGUGAAAAGGGAAACAACCCAGACCGUCAGCUAAGGUCCCAAAGUUAUGGUUAAGUGGGAAACGAUGUGGGAAGGCUUAGACAGCUAGGAGGUUGGCUUAGAAGCAGCCACCCUUUAAAGAAAGCGUAAUAGCUCACUAGUCGAGUCGGCCUGCGCGGAAGAUGUAACGGGGCUCAAACCAUACACCGAAGCUACGGGUUCAUCUUAGGAUGAGCGGUAGAGGAGCGUUCUGUAAGCCUGUGAAGGUGAGUUGAGAAGCUUGCUGGAGGUAUCAGAAGUGCGAAUGCUGACAUGAGUAACGACAAUGCGAGUGAAAAACUCGCACGCCGAAAGACCAAGGUUUCCUGCGCAACGUUAAUCGACGCAGGGUUAGUCGGCCCCUAAGGCGAGGCAGAAAUGCGUAGUCGAUGGGAAACGGGUUAAUAUUCCCGUACUUCUAGUUACUGCGAUGGAGGGACGGAGAAGGCUAGGCCAGCACGGCGUUGGUUGUCCGUGUUUAAGGUGGUAGGCUGGUUUCUUAGGUAAAUCCGGGAGAUCAAGGCCGAGAGCUGAUGACGAGCGUUCUUUUAGAAUGCGAAGUGGUUGAUGCCAUGCUUCCAGGAAAAGCUUCUAAGCUUCAGGUAACUAGGAACCGUACCCCAAACCGACACAGGUGGUUAGGUAGAGAAUACCAAGGCGCUUGAGAGAACUCGGGUGAAGGAACUAGGCAAAAUGGCACCGUAACUUCGGGAGAAGGUGCGCCGGUGAGGGUGAAGCAUUUACUGCGUAAGCCCAUGCCGGUCGAAGAUACCAGGCCGCUGCGACUGUUUAUUAAAAACACAGCACUCUGCAAACACGAAAGUGGACGUAUAGGGUGUGACGCCUGCCCGGUGCCGGAAGGUUAAUUGAUGGGGUUAGCGCAAGCGAAGCUCUUGAUCGAAGCCCCGGUAAACGGCGGCCGUAACUAUAACGGUCCUAAGGUAGCGAAAUUCCUUGUCGGGUAAGUUCCGACCUGCACGAAUGGCGUAACGAUGGCGGCGCUGUCUCCACCCGAGACUCAGUGAAAUUGAAAUCGCUGUGAAGAUGCAGUGUAUCCGCGGCUAGACGGAAAGACCCCGUGAACCUUUACUAUAGCUUUGCACUGGACUUUG
This 2095-nucleotide ribosomal RNA is filed under the name Pseudomonas sp. EGD-AK9. Its description in RNAcentral is "bacterial LSU rRNA". It matches the Rfam family "Bacterial large subunit ribosomal RNA", at positions 1 to 2126 of the family's 2925-position model. The record is from RNAcentral. Lineage: Bacteria; Pseudomonadati; Pseudomonadota; Gammaproteobacteria; Pseudomonadales; Pseudomonadaceae.